This 391-nucleotide unclassified non-coding RNA is filed under the name soil metagenome. Its description in RNAcentral is "partial contains 5.8S ribosomal RNA, internal transcribed spacer 2, and large subunit ribosomal RNA". The stretch from base 1 to 122 matches the Rfam family "5.8S ribosomal RNA", at positions 35 to 154 of the family's 154-position model. The record is from RNAcentral.
GAUGAAGAACGUAGCGAAAUGCGAUACUUGGUGUGAAUUGCAGAAUCCCGCGAAUCAUCGAGUUUUUGAACGCAAGUUGCGCCCGAAGCCAUUCGGCCGAGGGCACGUCUGCCUGGGUGUCACGCAUCGUUGCCCCCCCCAAACUUCGGUUCGGGCGGGGCAGAAGUUGGCCUCCCGUGCGUGCCUGCGCGUGCGGUUAGCCCAAAAGCGAGUCCUCGGCGACGAGCGCCACGGAAAUCGGUGGUUUUUUUGCCCUCGUUCCUCGUCGUGCGUGCCCCGUCGCCCGAACGCGCUCUUGCGACCUUCACGCGUCGCCUCGGUGGCGCUCCCAACGCGACCCCAGGUCAGGCGGGACUACCCGCUGAGUUUAAGCAUAUCAAUAAGCGGAGGA